RNAcentral lists this ribosomal RNA (554 nucleotides) under Klebsiella pneumoniae. Its description in RNAcentral is "partial 23S ribosomal RNA". It matches the Rfam family "Bacterial large subunit ribosomal RNA", at positions 2259 to 2812 of the family's 2925-position model. Lineage: Bacteria; Pseudomonadati; Pseudomonadota; Gammaproteobacteria; Enterobacterales; Enterobacteriaceae. The record is from RNAcentral.
UGGUGGGUAGUUUGACUGGGGCGGUCUCCUCCCAAAGCGUAACGGAGGAGCACGAAGGUUAGCUAAUCCUGGUCGGACAUCAGGAGGUUAGUGCAAUGGCAUAAGCUAGCUUGACUGCGAGCGUGACGGCGCGAGCAGGUGCGAAAGCAGGUCAUAGUGAUCCGGUGGUUCUGAAUGGAAGGGCCAUCGCUCAACGGAUAAAAGGUACUCCGGGGAUAACAGGCUGAUACCGCCCAAGAGUUCAUAUCGACGGCGGUGUUUGGCACCUCGAUGUCGGCUCAUCACAUCCUGGGGCUGAAGUAGGUCCCAAGGGUAUGGCUGUUCGCCAUUUAAAGUGGUACGCGAGCUGGGUUUAGAACGUCGUGAGACAGUUCGGUCCCUAUCUGCCGUGGGCGCUGGAGAAUUGAGGGGGGCUGCUCCUAGUACGAGAGGACCGGAGUGGACGCAUCACUGGUGUUCGGGUUGUCAUGCCAAUGGCACUGCCCGGUAGCUAAAUGCGGAAGAGAUAAGUGCUGAAAGCAUCUAAGCACGAAACUUGCCCCGAGAUGAGUUCU